RNAcentral lists this ribosomal RNA (114 nucleotides) under Octodon degus (degu). Lineage: Eukaryota; Metazoa; Chordata; Mammalia; Rodentia; Octodontidae. The record is from RNAcentral.
GUCUACAGCCAUACCAUGCUGAAUGCUCCCAAUCUCGUCUGAUCUCAGAAGCUAAGCAGGGUCAGGCCUGGUUAGUACUUGGAUGGGAGAAAAGCCAAAUAUAACCUGUCGACU